UCGAAACCUGCUUAGCAGAGCGACCUGUGAACACGUUCAACCUCAUGGGCGUUGGGGCGUUGCUCGGUGCCUAGUGUGCUGGCCCCUGCCUCUCCCAAGCUGGGGCAGCGCACACUUGUGGGCUGUUUCCUUGGCAAAAUAACGAACCCCGGCGCUUAAUGCGUCAAGCAAUACAAACAUUAUGGGGGUACUCUCCUAUUGUUCGGUUAGCCGGGCAUUGGAGCGGUGCUAUGCCUUAACAAUAAACGACUCUCGGCAACGGAUAUCCAGGCUCUCGCAUCGAUGAAGAACGUAGCGAAAUGCGAUACUUGGUGUGAAUAGCAGAAUCCCGUAAACCAUCGAGUUUUUGAACGCAAGUUGCGCCCGAAGCCUCUGGCUUAGGGCACGUCUGCCUGGGCGUCACGCAUCGCGACUCCCCCAAAUCCACCCCGAGCGGAGGGGAAGGAGGAUGGUCUCCCGUGACUCACCGGUCGCGGCUGGCCUAAAAUUGGAGCCCUCAGCAUCGGGAUGUCGUGGCGAUAGGUGGUGAGAAGGCCUCGGCCAAGCAAGCAACCCGCCGCGCGUCACCAUGCCAACGUGAGCUCGAAGGACCCUUUAAGUUGUCUAACGGCAUCCUAACUAUUGCGACCCCAGGUCAGGCGGGACUACCC
Molecule: ribosomal RNA, 650 nt
Filed under: Silene caroliniana subsp. caroliniana
Lineage: Eukaryota; Viridiplantae; Streptophyta; Magnoliopsida; Caryophyllales; Caryophyllaceae
Description: eukaryotic LSU rRNA
Rfam family: 5.8S ribosomal RNA (bases 248-402)
Source: RNAcentral